This 160-nucleotide ribosomal RNA is filed under the name uncultured bacterium. Its description in RNAcentral is "partial 16S ribosomal RNA". It matches the Rfam family "Bacterial small subunit ribosomal RNA", at positions 370 to 524 of the family's 1533-position model. The record is from RNAcentral.
AAUGGGCGCAGCCUGAUCCAGCCAUUCCGCGUGAGUGAAGAAGGCCUUCGGGUUGUAAAGCUCUUUCGCAAGGGAAGAAAACUUACCUACUAAUAUGGGUGAGGAUGACGGUACCUUGAUAAGAAGCACCGGCUAACUUCAUGCCAGCAGCCGCGGUAAU